CUUAUCGAGAGUGGCGGAGGGACCGGCCCGAUGAAGCCCGACAACCUGCACAGCGCUGCAAGGUGCCAAUUCCGGCGAUGAAACAUCGACAGAUGAGG
Molecule: non-coding RNA, 98 nt
Filed under: human gut metagenome
Description: SAM riboswitch (S box leader)
Rfam family: SAM riboswitch aptamer (S box leader)
About the family: The SAM riboswitch is found upstream of a number of genes which code for proteins involved in methionine or cysteine biosynthesis in Gram-positive bacteria. The SAM riboswitch acts at the level of transcription termination control.
Source: RNAcentral